RNAcentral lists this ribosomal RNA (831 nucleotides) under uncultured bacterium. RNAcentral's name for it is "bacterial SSU rRNA". It matches the Rfam family "Bacterial small subunit ribosomal RNA", at positions 9 to 888 of the family's 1533-position model. The record is from RNAcentral.
GAGUUUGAUCAUGGCUCAGAACGUACGCUGGCGGCACGCCUAACACAUGCAAGUCGAACGAAGUAGCAAUACUUAGUGGCAGACGGGUGAGUAACAUGUAGGUAUCUGCCCUUUGGCCUGGAAUAACACGAGGAAACUUGUGCUAAUACCGGAUAAGUCUUUACGGAGAAAGCUUUAUGCACCAUUGGAUGAGCCUGCACUUGAUUAGUUUGUUGGUGGGGUAAUGGCCUACCAAGACUGUGAUCAAUAGCUGAUUUGAGAGGAUGAUCAGCCACAUUGGGACUGAGACACGGCCCAAACUCCUACGGGAGGCAGCAGUGGGGAAUCUUGCACAAUGGAGGAAACUCUGAUGCAGCGAUGCCGCGUGAGUGAAGAAGGCCCUUGGGUUGUAAAGCUCUUUCGUCGGGGAAGAAAAUGACUGUACCCGAAUAAGAAGGUCCGGCUAACUUCGUGCCAGCAGCCGCGGUAAUACGAAGGGACCUAGCGUAGUUCGGAAUUACUGGGCUUAAAGAGUUCGUAGGUGGUUGAAAAAGUUAGUGGUGAAAUCCCAGAGCUUAACUCUGGAACUGCCAUUAAAACUUUUCAGCUAGAGUAUGAUAGAGGAAAGCAGAAUUUCUAGUGUAGAGGUGAAAUUCGUAGAUAUUAGAAAGAAUACCAAUUGCGAAGGCAGCUUUCUGGAUCAUUACUGACACUGAGGAACGAAAGCAUGGGUAGCGAAGAGGAUUAGAUACCCUCGUAGUCCAUGCCGUAAACGAUGUGUGUUAGACGUUGGAAAUUUAUUUUCAGUGUCGCAGGGAAACCGAUAAACACACCGCCUGGGGAGUACGACCG